Zalophus californianus (California sea lion) is the source of this 480-nucleotide long non-coding RNA. RefSeq lists it as uncharacterized. Lineage: Eukaryota; Metazoa; Chordata; Mammalia; Carnivora; Otariidae. The transcript is spliced from 3 exons. The record is from RefSeq and is a predicted model, not a curated record.
GCGUUUUCAAGGACGCAGCCUCGAGAGCAAGCUGCCCCGCUACUGACUGAACUCAGCUAAGGCCUCUAUGGGAACUGUGAAGAUUUGGGGGAUGAACUUGCAGUUUUGAGGAGUGCAGUUUCUUGUGAUUAGACUGGGAUUAUGGAUUUGAGGAAGGUAGAUCACAGAGUGAUUAACAGACCAACCAGAUCACAUGCUUAAAUCACCUUGUGCAUGAAUAGUGGGCCUGGUUCUCUUCAAACAAAUGCUGCUGAUAUACGGACUUCAGAAGAAUACUUUCUGAAUCAACGAUGAAGAGAGAAUUGAGAUCCAGUUCUGCAGCCAGCAAAGAUAACACCUCAAUUGAUUGCCCACCACAUGGAGUAUGAGACAUAUAUAGACCUCAGUAAUUAUUCAGCAGUGGCAAAAUUUAGAUAUGUAGGGAUAACUAGAACACCUUGAUUACAAUAACACAUUGUGUACCUAAUGUAACAAUAUCCU